Molecule: ribosomal RNA, 1204 nt
Filed under: Salmonella enterica subsp. enterica
Lineage: Bacteria; Pseudomonadati; Pseudomonadota; Gammaproteobacteria; Enterobacterales; Enterobacteriaceae
Description: partial 23S ribosomal RNA
Rfam family: Bacterial large subunit ribosomal RNA
Source: RNAcentral
AGGGGAGUGAAAAAGAACCUGAAACCGUGUACGUACAAGCAGUGGGAGCCCCACCACUAAGCCAGUGGUGAACUCCACAUACGCAUCCUUUGCUGAGGAUACGGUUAACGGAGCGAAAGCGACGUUCAACCUCAAAAGAAGCAGAGGGGGCUUAGUGGUGGGGUGACUGCGUACCUUUUGUAUAAUGGGUCAGCGACUUAUAUUCUGUAGCAAGGUUAACCGAAUAGGGGAGCCGGAGGGAAACCGAGUCUUAAUUGGGCGUUAAGUUGCAGGGUAUAGACCCGAAACCCGGUGAUCUAGCCAUGGGCAGGUUGAAGGUUGGGUAACACUAACUGGAGGACCGAACCGACUAAUGUUGAAAAAUUAGCGGAUGACCUGUGGCUGGGGGUGAAAGGCCAAUCAAACCGGGAGAUAGCUGGUUCUCCCCGAAAGCUAUUUAGGUAGCGCCUCGUGAAUUCAUCUCCGGGGGUAGAGCACUGUUUCGGCUAGGGGGUCAUCCCGACUUACCAACCCGAUGCAAACUGCGAAUACCGGAGAAUGUUAUCACGGGAGACACACGGCGGGUGCUAACGUCCGUCGUGAAGAGGGAAACAACCCAGACCGCCAGCUAAGGUCCCAAAGUCAUGGUUAAGUGGGAAACGAUGUGGGAAGGCCCAGACAGCCAGGAUGUUGGCUUAGAAGCAGCCAUCAUUUAAAGAAAGCGUAAUAGCUCACUGGUCGAGUCGGCCUGCGCGGAAGAUGUAACGGGGCUAAACCAUGCACCGAAGCUGCGGCAGCGAACGUAUCACCCAAGACAACUUUGCGGAGUUGACGAUUGACGGAGCGAAGCGACGUCAAAGCGUUCAUUAAAGUCGAGUUGGCUUAGGGAUACGUUCGUUGGGUAGGGGAGCGUUCUGUAAGCCUGUGAAGGUGUGUCGUGAGGCAUGCUGGAGGUAUCAGAAGUGCGAAUGCUGACAUAAGUAACGAUAAAGCGGGUGAAAAGCCCGCUCGCCGGAAGACCAAGGGUUCCUGUCCAACGUUAAUCGGGGCAGGGUGAGUCGACCCCUAAGGCGAGGCCGAAAGGCGUAGUCGAUGGGAAACGGGUUAAUAUUCCCGUACUUGGUGUUACUGCGAAGGGGGGACGGAGAAGGCUAUGUUGGCCGGGCGACGGUUGUCCCGGUUUAAGCGUGUAGGCUGGUUUUCCAGGCAAAUCCGGAAAAUCAAG